GAUGAACGCUGGCGGCGUGCCUAAUACAUGCCAGUCGAGCGAACAGACGAGGAGCUUGCUCCUCUGACGUUAGCGGCGGACGGGUGAGUAACACGUGGAUAACCUACCUAUAAGACUGGGAUAACUUCGGGAAACCGGAGCUAAUACCGGAUAAUAUAUUGAACCGCAUGGUUCAAUAGUGAAAGACGGUUUUGCUGUCACUUAUAGAUGGAUCCGCGCCGCAUUAGCUAGUUGGUAAGGUAACGGCUUACCAAGGCAACGAUGCGUAGCCGACCUGAGAGGGUGAUCGGCCACACUGGAACUGAGACACGGUCCAGACUCCUACGGGAGGCAGCAGUAGGGAAUCUUCCGCAAUGGGCGAAAGCUUGACGGAGCAACGCCGCGUGAGUGAUGAAGGUCUUCGGAUCGUAAAACUCUGUUAUUAGGGAAGAACAAAUGUGUAAGUAACUAUGCACGUCUUGACGGUACCUAAUCAGAAAGCAACGGCUAACUACGUG
Molecule: ribosomal RNA, 497 nt
Filed under: uncultured bacterium
Lineage: Bacteria
Description: partial 16S ribosomal RNA
Rfam family: Bacterial small subunit ribosomal RNA
Source: RNAcentral